AUACCUUUCUCGGCCUUUUGGCUAAGAUCAAGUGUAGUAUCUGUUCUUAUCAGUUUAAUAUCUGGUACGUGGGCCAAUGGCCCACCCAAUAUUAAAUUUAUUUUUUUAGGGGAAGGGCCCAACACAAUAGCUUGCUAUUGGGGCUUUUAAGCGUUGCCCAUGCGUUGCACUAUAGCACGGGCCUAGCGCACCCCUC
Molecule: small nuclear RNA, 196 nt
Organism: Cornus florida
Lineage: Eukaryota; Viridiplantae; Streptophyta; Magnoliopsida; Cornales; Cornaceae
Product: U2 spliceosomal RNA
Exons: 1
Source: RefSeq, a predicted model, not a curated record